GCACCCGGCCCCGCUCCGCCCCCAGAGUCCGAUGGCGGCGGCCGCGCGGAGGGAGCCGGUUCAGCUCUUGGAUGUGGGAACCCUGAAGUACACCAAGCACUGGGAGUCGUGACAGGGUGGUGUGACCUUUGAGGACAUAGCUGUGUACUUCUCCUGAGAGGAAUGGGCCUCCUGGAUGAGACUCAGAGACACCUGUACCACGAUGUGAUGCUGGAGAAUCUUGCCUUUCUAUCCUCACUGGGUUGUUGCUGUGGAGCAGAGGAUGUGGAGGCUCGCUUUGAACAGAGCAUUUCUGUAGGAGUCUCACAGACCAGGAUAUCUCCACUUUCCCAGAAGACUCACCCCUACGAGAUGUGUGGUCUGGUGUUGAAAGACAUUUUGCACUUGGCUGAGCGCAAGGGAACACAACACAGCCAGAAACUGUUAAGGUGUGAGUCCUGUAUCAAACUGUUUUAUUUCAGUGCAACUUUUGAACACCAGCAGGAGCAGCACAUGGAGGAGAAAGCCUUCAGAAGCAGUGUGGACACGGGCUCGUUUGUGACGAGCUGCAGGUUCUGUGUGUCAGAGAAGCCCUUUCCCUGGGUGAAGGUUUGGAAGGACUUCCUGGCCAGCUUUGGACAUCUCCAGCAACAGGCCACUCACACCAGGAAGAAGCCCCAACAAAUCACCCAUUGCAAAGCAGCUUUGCAAAGCAGAAAACGUCAUUACACCUGGGGUGAAUGGCAGAUAGCCUUCAGCCCCAAAUACACACUUGUUCAGGACCAGGGUGUCCACCCUGGAAGACAGUGGUUUACAUGCCAUCGAUUUGGGAAAACAGGUACAAAUCCUCAUCUGUUGUACACCAGAGUGCCCAUGCUGGAGAAUGGCUUCAUGUUUGUGUGGUGAAUGUCGCGGAUUCUUUACGGGAAGCUUAACCUUCAGUCAACAUCAAAAAAUUCAUACUUGGACAAGGCAGUGCAUGUGAAGCAAAUGUGGCAAAUCUCUAAGCCACAAAUCUGUGCCCAUCAUGCCUGGAAGUCAAACUGGAGAAAAUUGUUUUGUAUGCAGUGAAUGUAUGAAAUCUUUUAGCCCUAGCUCAAUUCUCAUUCACUCUUGGAGAGUUCAAACUGAAGGAAUGUCUUAAAAGUGUAGUGACUAUGCUAAAUUUAUACCUCUAGCUCUGCCCUCAGUUAUCAUUUGAGAGCUCACACAGGAGAAAGACUUUUCUGACUGCAUUGAAUGUGGGAAAUCCUUUACUGAAAACUCCCGACUCAUUAUACACAGGAGAGUUCACACUGGAGAAAGACCCUAUAAGUUCAACAAAUGUGGCAAAGCAUUUUCCCAAAGUUCUUCGCUCCUUCGAUGUGAGAGAGUUCACACUGGAGAAAAGCCUUAUGAGUGCAAUGAAUGUGGGAAAUCAUUUCGCCAGAUCUCUGUGCUCCUUCAACAUUGGAGAAUCCACCUGGCGAAAGGCCUUAUGAAUGCAGUCAGGUUGGGAAAUCUUUAGCCAUAGGUCCAAUCUCAUUCAACAUCAGAGAGUUCACACUGGAGAAGGACCUUUUGAGUGCAGUGAAUGUGGGAAAUCUUUUAACUGAAGCUCUGUACUCUGUCGACAUCAGAGUCUUCACACUGGAUCACAGCCUUAUGAGUGCAGUGAAUGUGGAAUAUCCUUUGCUUAACACUCCACCUUCAUUAGAAACAGGAGAGUUCACACUGGAGAAAAACCUUAUGAGUGUGGGGAUGUGAGAAAGCAUUUAUUCAGAAGACCUACCUCAUUAUACACCAAAGAGUUCACACCAGAGAAAGGCCAUAUGAAUGCAACAAAUGUGGGAAAUCAUUUAGCCACAGCUCUGUGCUCCAUCGACGUCAGACUUCACACUGGAUCAACGCCUUAAGAGUGCAGUCAGUGUGGAAAAUCCUCUGCUGAUAACUCCAACUUUAUUAAACACAAGAGAGUUCACACUGGAAAAAGGUCUUAUGACAGCGGCAAAUGUGGAAAAGCAUUUAGUGAAAGUUCUGUACUGUCGACAUCAGAGGGUUCACACUGGAUAAAGGCUUAAUAAGUGAAGCAGAUGUGGAAAAUUCUUUAGCUAAAGCUCUAUGUUCCUUCAACAUCAAUAGUUCACACUGCAUCAAGGCCUUAUGAGUACACUGAGUGUGGGAGAUGCUUUGCUAAAAUCCUCAGUCUUAUGAAACACAGGAGCAUUCACACUGCAGAAAGUUGUUAUGGUGUAGCAAAUGUGGACAAUCUCUUACCUACAACUCUAGUUUCCCAAAACACAAGAAUGUUCACACUGGAUAAUGGCCUUAUGAGUGUGAAACCCUUGAGUCAGAAUUAGCCUCAUUACACACUGGAGAGUUCACACUUGGGAAAGGUCUUACAAGUGCAGUGAAUAUGAAAAAGACUUCAGCCUUUUCUCAUUGGAUACCACAGAGUUCACGUCAGAAAAACAACAGAUGUGCAGAGAGUGUGUCAUUUCUUGUUCAGUUUAACAACAUUGGGGAGAUCCCAUGUGAGGGUGCCAUCUGCCUAUAUUGAACUUCAUAUCCCUUAUAAACCAUGUAAAUUCCAGGAAUAUGGGAGCUGCAUUGUACUUUUUAAUUUGACCAGAGCCCUCCCUUACCAGACAUAUGUCACUGCCAGUUCUGUAGCAAAAGCGAUUUCACCUCUUAUAGUUUCACAGGUGGUCACGGUGUGCAUUAUUGACCCACUGCCAGGUGUCCAGGGAAGGAAACCUUGAUAAUCUGUCAUUUGUGGGAAGGAUUUGUAUGAAGGCUGAGCACUCAUUCCUUUCCAUUUACUUUCUCUGAUGAGCUACGUCACUGACGUGACCAGUUUUUGGCCCAGAGGACUCGGCUGGUGACUUGAAAAUGUGAGCUGCCUUUUCAUAGAUGUUGUUGGUGUCACGUGACUCCUGUGAUGAAAUUUCCUGCCCUUCAAGUCUCCAGCCCAGGAGCAGCCUGCCUCCAGUUGCUCUGCUUUGUGAAAAUGAAAGCCUUAUUGUUUAAGCCACGUUUAAUCUGGGGGUUCUAUUCACUGUGUGUGGUGGUUUGAAAACAGCCGGGUUCUGCGAACAGGAAGGGGUGAACAGCUUUGAUUGGGAUCCCAAGCUUUGUGUGUCUCAGCGGGGACAGUAUGAUGGCAGGAUAUGCCUCUCUCUGCAGUUUUGCCUAUGUUUGCAUUGCUUCCCAAGACCUCCAAGAAAAGAGUGCGGGGAUUUGUGGACCUAUUUGUAGCCUGGAUGCCACGGUAUUUGUGGUUCAGAGGUCAGUCUGUGGAGAGGCAGUGGUGAUAACCUUUGGUGCUUCUGAGAGCAACAUGAAAUUGCUCUCUUGUUCACAGAGGAUGUUGCAUUGUGCUCAGCGCUGCUGAGGGAAGUCUGUUUCCAGGUCCUGCAGCAGAGCCAUGUGCCCUGAUGUUCAGGAUUCCACAGAGUGGCAUCACGGGGUAUGGACAGGGGAAUCAUACUUGUUAUAGAAACACUAGAUUUAAAGGGAGGGGAAGGGACUGCCCCAAACUAGUUGGGAUGUGCCACUUUUAAAGGGGCACGCAGAAGAUUCCAGUCUCUAUGGCUGUGAAGGAUGAGCAGGCUCAAAAAUUCUCAUGGCCUCCAGAACUGUGCAUCUUGUGUAGCUGAGGUCAUUGUGAGGGGAAAACAUGUAAAUGUUUUGUGAAUUCCUGUAGCCUGUCUGGGCUGUUCACCUGAAGGCUAUUGCUGUGCAGGAACAUGAGGCUACAGAGGCCAGCUCUGUGGCCUUUGUGCCCCAGCCUGCAUUCCUCUUGAAUCUGACGGAAACUGCCUUGUAGCUCUUCAGUAUUUGCUACCACUGAGGCAGGGCGUCCCUCCAGGGCAUGAGGAAAGAGGUAGUGGAGUUAAUAUAGGUUUAUCAGACUGACAUUCCAAAAUUAAAGGAAAUCCAGAUUUUUUUUAACCAUGUUUUUAGAGCUCUAAUAAGAUGUAAAUAACUUGCAGUGAGCUGCGUAUAUUUAAACUGUACAGUUUGGUAAGUUUUGACACUCAUGUAAAUGUGUAAAACCACUAUUAUGGUGGUGAUGAAUGAAGCUCUCCAUCAUCCUCUUAUUUACCUAGGGCUCUGUCAUGUCUCUCUCUCCUCUCUCUGCCCUCCAGGUAACCAUUGAUUUACUUUCCUUUACAGAAGAUUAGUUUGCAUUUUCUAGAAUUUAAUAAGAUUCUUCUCAUAAAACGUUUCUUCUUUUUAUCCGCGAGUAGCCUCGUGUGGCUUCUUCAUUUUGAGGUUCAUCAGUGGUGCUCAUGUGAGUAGUUCAUUCUUUUUAUAUUGCUGGGGAGUAUGAUGUUCUGUGGAAGUACCACUAUUUGAUUAUUCUUUUGUCUGUGUAUGCGUAUUUGAGUUGUUUCCAGUUUUUGACUGUUGCAGAUAAAACUGGUAAGAUAUUUGAAAAGAGUUCUUCAUAUCCAUAUGAUUCAUGGAUCUUAUGUUAAUUUCUUGGGGUGCAGUGCCUGAGUCAUAGGGUAGGUGAGUAGAUACCUUUUUAAGAAAUGCCAAACUGUGACCUAACGUGGUUGUCCCCUUUUGUCUUCCUGCCAGCAGUGAAUGAGACUUCCAUUUCUUCCAUUUCCUUGCCAACAGUGGGUAUGGUUGGUUUUAUAAAAUUUUGAGCCCUUUAAUCAAUGUGUAACCAUGUAAAACAUUGUGGUUUUAGUUGCAUUUCCCUGUUUCCUGAUGUUGAACGUAUUUUCACUUGUUUAUUUGUCACUAUUAUGUCUUCUUUUGUAAACAUCUUUUCAUAUCUUU
Long non-coding RNA from Diceros bicornis minor, 4755 nucleotides. RefSeq lists it as uncharacterized. NCBI's taxonomy places the organism in Eukaryota, Metazoa, Chordata, Mammalia, Perissodactyla, Rhinocerotidae. The transcript has 4 exons. The record is from RefSeq and is a predicted model, not a curated record.